CCCUUAGAUGUCCUGGGCCGCACGCGCGCUACACUGAGUGUCUGAGAUACGAGUCUGCCUAGCCGGCGAGGUCUAGGUAAUCGCUGAAAGACACAUCAUGCUUGGGAUAGAUUAUUGCAGAUAUUAAUCUUGAACGAGGAAUUCCUAGUAAGCGCAAGUCAACAGCUUGCGUUGAUUACGUCCCUGCCCUUUGUACACACCGCCCGUCGCUACUACUGAUUGGAUGUUUAAGCGAGGUUCUCGAACUGCUAGCGACUUAGCUUCGGUGAGGUCGCCGUGUGGGAAGUGAACCUAGCUUUGGUGUCUAGAGGAAGUAAAAGUCGUAACA
This 328-nucleotide ribosomal RNA is filed under the name uncultured eukaryote. RNAcentral's name for it is "partial 18S ribosomal RNA". It matches the Rfam family "Eukaryotic small subunit ribosomal RNA", at positions 1470 to 1796 of the family's 1831-position model. The record is from RNAcentral.